UGGAGUGUAGCUCAGUGGUAGAACACUAGUAUACAUGAGGCCCUGGGUUCAAUCCCUAGCACUACAA
RNAcentral lists this transfer RNA (67 nucleotides) under Ictidomys tridecemlineatus (thirteen-lined ground squirrel). Its description in RNAcentral is "Spermophilus tridecemlineatus (thirteen-lined ground squirrel) tRNA". It matches the Rfam family "tRNA". Rfam says of the family: Transfer RNA (tRNA) molecules are approximately 80 nucleotides in length. Their secondary structure includes four short double-helical elements and three loops (D, anti-codon, and T loops). The record is from Rfam by way of RNAcentral. Lineage: Eukaryota; Metazoa; Chordata; Mammalia; Rodentia; Sciuridae.